Long non-coding RNA from Pan troglodytes (chimpanzee), 2081 nucleotides. RefSeq lists it as uncharacterized. NCBI's taxonomy places the organism in Eukaryota, Metazoa, Chordata, Mammalia, Primates, Hominidae. The transcript has 2 exons. The record is from RefSeq and is a predicted model, not a curated record.
UGACCUCACAAUAUGUUUUGGUAGUUCUUUCCCCUUUCCCAUUCACUACAACUUCCUUCCAAGCCAAAGGCCUUCCCUCCCAGCAGCAAAAGCAGUCAGAGGAUGAUGUUCCCUAGUCUAAUCUGCUCUUUCCUUCCUUCAUUCAUUCAAUCAAUCAUUCACUCAGCUGGCCAGCAGACACUGGAUGACCACCCCUGGGCCAGGCCUUGUGGCAAAUGCUACAGUAAUGACCAGACGCAUCACACCCGCCUUCUAGAAGCCCUCCCUCACAAACCGGAUCAACUGCUAUGAUAAAGGAUUAGGCAGUGGAACAGUCCUUGUGAUCCUGAAGUUAGCAACGCCCUAGCCUCCUUCUUUCAACACCAGCUCUCACUUCUUGUCUUAGAUUGCUUUGCACCUUCCUGUCCCUUAAUUGAUGUCAGGACCUGAAUAUAUUUGAUAGUGAUUUGAAGCACUGAUGCUACAAAUGAAAGAGAUUGAUGCUGGGCCCUGGGACCAGGACAUGUGACAGAGCCAGAUUCCUUCAGGGCUGAUGGGCAUGUGCUAGGACUGACACAGGCUAGCAUCUCCCGAGAAGACGUAAGGACAAGCAACUCCAAAUGGGGAUGACAUUGAUGACUCUUCCACCUCUCCUGGUAACCUCCCCAUGCCCAUCAUGUCGUUGCACCUCUGACAGUACUAGGAGAGGUGCCAAAAUGAGGGACAGUACUUGGGAGGACACCAAAAUGGGGGAAAGUUUGUGAAAUGUUGCAAUGGGAGAAAGGAACUCAGUGGCCCAUGUAAAUCUGGGAUAUGUUUGAGAUGUGGCAUUGCCUGUCUCUGUGUCUUCACAAGGAUAAUAAGCUUCUCCAGUGUUACUGUAAGCCAGUGUGAUCCCUAUCUUCAUUAAUUUUUGCCUGGAAACUCCUGGCCCAUGACUAUUGUAAAAAGUCCUGGCAAAGUGUGCCUAGCCAACAUCCACUCUCCUCUACUUCCUUACUAUCAAAACCUUGCAUUUGUUUAGGAUGGCAAUGUGCCAACUAGAAAAGCCACACUUGACCGGGCAUGGUGGCUCAAGCCUGUAAUCCCAGCACUUUGGGAGGCCAAGGUGGGCGAAUCACAAGGUCAGGAGUUUGAGACCUGACCCCUUCUGUUGGUGGGGCGGAGGGGGUGGGGGGAGGGCAGUCCAAGGGUGGACCCUGUCUCUACUAAAAAUACAAAAAUUAGCCUGGUGUGGUGGUGGGCACCUGUAAUCCCAGCUACUCGGGAGGCUGAGGCAGGAGAAUUGCUUGAACCUGGGAGGAGGAGGCUGCAGUGAGCUGAGAUCCCACCACUGCACUCCAGCCUGGGUGACAGAGUGAGACUCCGACUUAAAAAAAAAAAGCCACACUUAACCUCCUUUGCAGCUAAGAGGCAACAUACAUGGCUGGACAGUGAGAUUGUGUUAAUGUGGAUUAUUCCUCCACAAAUAUGCAUUCUUCUCCUCUCCAUUGUGAAUAGAGUGUAAGUACUUACCCGUUGAUGCUGAGCUUAGUAACAUGACUUCCUUUGGAAUGUUAGUGGAAGGAAUAAGCAGAAACCUUUUAUUUGCUUGCAUAGUUUGAUUUCCUUCUUUUCAUGAUUCACCAUUAGAAGAACCCACCCAGGUAAUCACUGCUUGCUCGGAUCCCAGCAAAUUCUAGAUCCCAGAACUAGUGCUCUUAGAGCCAAGGCCAGCCGAUCCAAGUCUGGACUACUGCUCAGAUGAGCCGAGCCUGAAUUUGGGAGUGGUUGUUACAGAGCAUUACCCUGGCAAUAACUGACUGAUGCAGAGAUGUAAAUAGACAUCACUGGUGGAGCCCCCAGGAAAGCUCUUUAACAGAAGACAGACUCAGCUGGCAGGUUUCCCGUCUCCUUGAAUGAAGACAGGCUCAAUGCUUGGAGGGGUGAGAGGAGGCAGCCGUCUUACAACCACAGGUCACAGGAAGACACUAAACAAGGCCGUGUGGAAAGAUAGAAGGAGCCUCCAUCCCUCAGCACCACAGAGACAUUGUAUCAGCCUAGAAAUGCCUAAAUCUGAACUUCCUCUUACCUAAGAAAAAUAAAACCUCAAUUUGAUUCAA